This 69-nucleotide transfer RNA is filed under the name Ictidomys tridecemlineatus (thirteen-lined ground squirrel). Its description in RNAcentral is "Spermophilus tridecemlineatus (thirteen-lined ground squirrel) tRNA". It matches the Rfam family "tRNA". Rfam says of the family: Transfer RNA (tRNA) molecules are approximately 80 nucleotides in length. The record is from Rfam by way of RNAcentral. Lineage: Eukaryota; Metazoa; Chordata; Mammalia; Rodentia; Sciuridae.
GGGACUGUGGCUCAGUGGCAGAGUGCUUGCCUCACAUGUGUGAGGCACUGAGUUCAAUCCUCAGCACCA